CUUUUAUGAGUGCAAUGCUUUCCUCUUUAUCUUUCUCAUACAUGUAAACUUUACAAAUGUUGUAAGCCAUUCAAUCAUUUUUUUUUUUUAAACUAAAGCAAUUUUUUUUAAUAUGGUCAGACGCUAACUGUUGUUUCAUGAAUGCGUUUUCUUAAAUUGCACCCUGAACAUCGAUUAAACCUUAAUGACCACUUGUGUAACACAUUAUCUUCUUCAACUAAGCCCGUAGAUUUUUUUUUUUAACGUUAUUUUCAAAAAAAAGAAAACUGGACAAAUCAUUUAUGGUCUAGUAAAAAUCAAGAAAGAAAGAAAAUUAUAUCCCAACAAUACCUUUUCUUUGAUGAGCAUUUUGUGAACCGUUCCAACCAACAUUUUUUUUAAAGGAAACAACACUUUUCAACAUAAACGCGGUGGCGUUCUAUUAUUGUCUAUAUUCAUUUGUCUUUUCAAACUUCUUGUAUUACCUUUCAUUUAUAUUCUGACAUCUUCUUACAGCCACAAACCC
Molecule: long non-coding RNA, 505 nt
Organism: Hylaeus volcanicus
Lineage: Eukaryota; Metazoa; Arthropoda; Insecta; Hymenoptera; Colletidae
Exons: 3
Source: RefSeq, a predicted model, not a curated record